This 433-nucleotide ribosomal RNA is filed under the name uncultured bacterium. RNAcentral's name for it is "partial 16S ribosomal RNA". It matches the Rfam family "Bacterial small subunit ribosomal RNA", at positions 29 to 507 of the family's 1533-position model. The record is from RNAcentral.
AACGAACGCUGGCGGCAUGCCUAACACAUGCAAGUCGAACGAGACCUUCGGGUCUAGUGGCGCACGGGUGCGUAACGCGUGGGAACCUGCCCUUAGGUUCGGAAUAACUCCCCGAAAGGGGUGCUAAUACCGGAUAAUGUCUUCGGACCAAAGAUUUAUCGCCUUUGGAUGGGCCCGCGUUGGAUUAGCUAGUUGGUAGGGUAAAAGCCUACCAAGGCGACGAUCCAUAGCUGGUCUGAGAGGAUGAUCAGCCACACUGGGACUGAGACACGGCCCAGACUCCUACGGGAGGGAGCAGUAGGGUAUAUUAGACAAUGGGCGAAAGCCUGAUCCAGCAAUGCCGCGUAAGUGAUGAAGGCCUUAGGAUUGUAAAUCUCUUUUACCCGGGAUGAUAAUGACAGUACCGGGAGAAUAAGCUCCGGCUAACUCCGUG